Non-coding RNA from Mesocricetus auratus (golden hamster), 129 nucleotides. Lineage: Eukaryota; Metazoa; Chordata; Mammalia; Rodentia; Cricetidae. The record is from Rfam.
UUCCGUGUGCCUUUGGGACCUUCAUGCUGUGGCUGUCUUCCUUUCUGGCCAAUGAAGAGCAGGUUCUUCUUUGUCUGCAGAGCUGUAACCAUUUAAUAGGUAUUAGGUUCUUCUUUUUUUUUGAGUUUU